CCCUGGACGGGGAUAAGGCCGCCACGACGCCGCCCCUCUCCCUUAUCCUCUCCCUCCCUCACGCGCCCUCUUUCCCCUACUCUCUGUGAGCCCGCGCAGCAAACCCUACCCGCCCGGAGACCUCGCCGGCGCCGCUGUUCUGGCCACCCCCGUGCCUAGCCGCGCCUCCCAUCGGCUUCGCCUCGCCGCCAGCAACCUCCCCCUCCAAGGAAUCGAGCCCGCACGCCCUCAAUCUCCGCCGCCACCCUCUUCUUCCGCGCGGCCGGGAAGGAUUCCGACGACCACCGCCGCCGCUCCCGACCUUCCCCGCCGUUGCCGCCUAGCCUGCAAGCUUCAGGUAUUUGCUUCUUCGCGAUCGAUAGAGCACGAGUUUGAGACGAUGAAGAUCGACAACACCGAAGAUCAAUAAUUGUUCACCGACGAACAAGUCAAGCAUGCAUCGAAGAUCCACUUUGCUUUGUCAGGGACAAAGGCAAGCCCUAGCCUGGUUCAUAUAAGUUUUACAAAUUCUUUCAUUCUGGUUACUUCAUAUUGCAUGCGAUUCAACUGUCUUUUACCGAUAGAUAGAGUUACCCUAUCUGUUGCAUGUCCGACCUUUGUAGCCUCGAUACCCUGAUCCACUGCUCCUAGCAUAAUUAGGUUUGGCAUGUGUGCGUCGCGAGAGCCUUUAUCUCUUAUGCUUAGCCAUGCUUAGUUUGUUACGCUACUACUCCGGUCUUCGGACUGGAGCCUUACAAUGAAAUGAAUCUAGCAUGACAGGUUGACGUGGUAAGUAUGGAGAUGAUGAUAAACAUGAUUAAAGGCUCAGACGAGAGGCCACAUUGGGAUGUGGUGGGUUGUUUCGUUUCUGCCGACCCUAGGAACCGAGUUCUCGCCUCUUGAACCAAGACCGAGCGUACAACCACACGAGGCCCUAUUAUGGUACCCUCUCGACUCACUAACUUGCCUAGUAGAUUCCAUGAGUCACAUAGUUUGCGCGUUACCUGGUCAUAUGCAUUGCAUUUUGCUUGGGGGUUAAAGGUACAUAACAGGUAGGUAAGCGUGGCCGUGGUGGCUGGGGGUUGCGGCCCCUGGGGAAACCCACCUCGCCUCACAUCGUUAAGGACCGACUUCGGGACUUGACCCGUUACGGCGGAACAAUCCUUAGCGCGUGACUCAUGGUCUCGGCGACAGCAAGGUAAAGGUCGUGGUCAACCACCCUCUGCCGGCUUUCCAAGGAAGAGAGCUUAAACGUUGGCACUAAGAGUCGGUUGGCGCGUGUGGGUAAAGUUGUGCACCCCUGCAGGGUUAUGAAUCUUUUCGAAAAGCCGUGUCCACGGUUAUGGACGACUUGGGAACGGACGUGGAGAUCAUAGGGAACAUGAACCUAAUCGUAAAACUUGGCAAACAAUGUGUGUUUACGGACACCUUCUUCGGGUGUUGAGGGGGUGAUCCGAGGAUAGUGGUUCGAGAUGAUGAAGAUUGGUGGAUACAAUAUGAUGAUCAAUAGAGAUAGAGAUGUCGCUCUCUUAUCCCUUUUUAAAGGUUCUGAGUAGUCGAGCUUCUUCUCCCUCCUGUUUAUCAAAGGAAAACUGGCUUUACGCAAAAGAAGAUCCACAGAAAGCCCGCAUACCCGCUUUGCUAAAAGGUUGUACUAAGUCUUGUUGAGUCCCUGUACUCAG
Lolium perenne is the source of this 1661-nucleotide non-coding RNA. The record is from RefSeq and is a predicted model, not a curated record. Lineage: Eukaryota; Viridiplantae; Streptophyta; Magnoliopsida; Poales; Poaceae.